UGCACUGUUAUACACCCCCAUACUCAUCAGGUAUACUAUAUAUAUAUACAUACACCCAUCAUUGCACUGUUAUACACCCCCAUACUCAUCGGGUAUACUAUAUAUAUACAUACACCUAUCAUAGGCCUGUUAUACACCCCAUACUCAUCAGGUAUACUAUAUAUAUAUACAUACACCUAUCAUAGGCCUGUUAUACACCCCCAUACUCAUCAGGUAUACUAUAUAUAUAUACAUACACCUAUCAUAGGCCUGUUAUACACCCCCAUACUCAUCAGGUAUACUAUAUAUAUACAUACACCUAUCAUAGGCCUGUUAUACACCCCCAUACUCAUCAGGUAUACUAUUUAUAUAUAUAUAUAUACAUACACCCAUCAUAGGCCUG
RNAcentral lists this long non-coding RNA (382 nucleotides) under Salmo salar (Atlantic salmon). RNAcentral describes it as "lncRNA (ENSSSAG00000119375.1)". Lineage: Eukaryota; Metazoa; Chordata; Actinopteri; Salmoniformes; Salmonidae. The record is from RNAcentral.